Molecule: ribosomal RNA, 2096 nt
Filed under: activated sludge metagenome
Description: bacterial LSU rRNA
Rfam family: Bacterial large subunit ribosomal RNA
Source: RNAcentral
GUGAAAAGCACCCCGGAAGGGGAGUGAAAUAGAACCUGAAACCGUGUGCCUACAAGCAGUAGGAGGGCCUAAGGGCCUGACUGCGUACUUUUUGUAGAACGGACCGGCGAGUUACGAUUGGCAGCAAGGUUAAGGGCCUAAGGCCCAAAGCCGCAGCGAAAGCGAGUCUGAUAAGGGCGAAGAGUUGUCAGUCGUAGACCCGAAACCGGGUGAUCUAUCCAUGGCCAGGGUGAAGCUAAGCUAACCCUUAGUGGAGGCCCGAACCACGUUGACGUUGAAAAGUCAUGGGAUGAGCUGUGGAUAGGGGUGAAAAGCCAAUCGAACCCGGAGAUAGCUGGUUCUCCCCGAAAUAGCUUUAGGGCUAGCCUCAAAGGCGAGAGUAUUGGAGGUAGAGCACUGAUUGGGCUAGGGGCCCACCAAGGUUACUGACCCCAUUCAAACUCCGAAUGCCAAUACUUGUUCUUUGGGAGUCAGACUGCGGGGGAUAAGCUUCGCAGUCGAGAGGGAAACAGCCCAGACCGACAGCUAAGGUCCCCAAGUGCGAGCUAAGUGGUGAAGGAUGUGGGAUUGCAUAGACAACCAGGAUGUUGGCUUAGAAGCAGCCAUCAUUGAAUGAGUGCGUAAUAGCUCACUGGUCGAGUGGUCCUGCGCCGAAAAUAACCGGGGCUAAGCUCGUCACCGAAGCUUCGGCAGGAGUUAAAACUCCUGGGUAGGGGAGCAUUGCAUGUGCACCGAAGCCGUAUCGCAAGGUAUGGUGGAGCGCAUGGAAGAGAGAAUGCCGGUAUGAGUAGCGAAAAGAGGGGUGAGAAUCCCCUCCGCCGAAAGCCUAAGGUUUCCUGAGGAAGGUUCGUCCGCUCAGGGUAAGUCGGGACCUAAGCCGAGGCCGAAAGGCGUAGGUGAUGGAUAACCGGUUGAGAUUCCGGUACCACCAGGAUGCCGUUUGAGUGACGGGGUGACACAGGGAGGCAGACCAUCAGGCGGAUGGAAGAGCCUGUCCAAGCGUGUAGGGAGUGCUGCAGGCAAAUCCGCAGCAUAAUCCCGAGGCGUGAAGGGGAGCGAAAUUAAAGUAGCGGAACUGGUCGUACCUGCACUGUCAAGAAAAGCCUCUAGCGAGGCAUCUGGUGCCCGUACCGCAAACCGACACAGGUAGGCGGGGAGAGAAUCCUAAGGCGCGCGAGAGAACCCCUGUUAAGGAACUCGGCAAAAUGACUCCGUAACUUAGGGAGAAGGAGUGCCCCAUUAGGGUGAAGAGCCUAGCGCUUUGAGCCCGAAGGGGUCGCAGAGGAGAGGCCCAAGCGACUGUUUAACAAAAACACAGGUCUCUGCUAAGUCGCAAGACGAAGUAUAGGGGCUGACGCCUGCCCAAUGCCGGAAGGUUAAGGGGAACAGUUAGCUAAGGCGAAGCUGUGAACCGAAGCCCCGGUCAAUGGCGGCCGUAACUAUAACGGUCCUAAGGUAGCGAAAUUCCUUGUCGGGUAAGUUCCGACCUGCACGAAUGGCGUAACGACUUGGGCGCUGUCUCGAUGGGGGACUCGGCGAAAUUGUACUGCCCGUGAAGAUGCGGGUUACCUGCGAUUAGACGGAAAGACCCCGUGGAGCUUUACUGCAGCCUGGUAUUGGAUUUUGGGAUGUGAUGUAUAGGAUAGGUGGGAGGCGUGGAAGCAUGGGCGCCAGCCUGUGUGGAGCCGCAAGUGGAAUACCACUCUUCAGAUUCCGGAGUUCUAACCUGGCGCCAUAAUCUGGCGUGGAGACAGUAUCAGGUGGGCAGUUUGACUGGGGCGGUCGCCUCCUAAAGGGUAACGGAGGCGUCCAAAGGUUCCCUCAGUGCGGUUGGAAAUCGCACGCAAAGAGUGUAAAGGCAGAAGGGAGCUUGACUGCGAGACAUACAUGUCAAGCAGGGACGAAAGUCGGGCUUAGUGAUCCGGUGGUUCUGAGUGGAAAGGCCAUCGCUCAACGGAUAAAAGCUACCCCGGGGAUAACAGGCUUAUCUCCCCCAAGAGUCCACAUCGACGGGGAGGUUUGGCACCUCGAUGUCGGCUCGUCGCAUCCUGGGGCUGAAGUAGGUCCCAAGGGUUGGGCUGUUCGCCCAUUAAAGC